This 497-nucleotide ribosomal RNA is filed under the name uncultured bacterium. RNAcentral describes it as "partial 16S ribosomal RNA". It matches the Rfam family "Bacterial small subunit ribosomal RNA", at positions 28 to 507 of the family's 1533-position model. The record is from RNAcentral.
GAUGAACGCUGGCGGCGUGCCUAAUACAUGCAAGUCGAGCGAACAGACGAGGAGCUUGCUCCUCUGACGUUAGCGGCGGACGGGGGAGUAACACGUGGAUAACCUACCUAUAAGACUGGGAUAACUUCGGGAAACCGGAGCUAAUACCGGAUAAUAUAUUGAACCGCAUGGUUCAAUAGUGAAAGACGGUUUUGCUGUCACUUAUAGAUGGAUCCGCGCCGCAUUAGCUAGUUGGUAAGGUAACGGCUUACCAAGGCAACGAUGCGUAGCCGACCUGAGAGGGUGAUCGGCCACCCUGGAACUGAGACACGGUCCAGACUCCUACGGGAGGCAGCAGUAGGGAAUCUUCCGCAAUGGGCGAAAGCCUGACGGAGCAACGCCGCGUGAGUGAUGAAGGUCUUCGGAUCGUAAAACUCUGUUAUUAGGGAAGAACAAAUGUGUAAGUAACUAUGCACGUCUUGACGGUACCUAAUCAGAAAGCCACGGCUAACUACGUG